UUAAAGUACAACUCUGGAUCUCUUGC
This 26-nucleotide non-coding RNA is filed under the name Mus musculus (house mouse). Lineage: Eukaryota; Metazoa; Chordata; Mammalia; Rodentia; Muridae. The record is from RNAcentral.